This 410-nucleotide ribosomal RNA is filed under the name Drosophila pachea. RNAcentral's name for it is "partial 12S ribosomal RNA". The record is from RNAcentral. Lineage: Eukaryota; Metazoa; Arthropoda; Insecta; Diptera; Drosophilidae.
UCAUUCUAGAUACACUUUCCAGUACAUCUACUAUGUUACGACUUAUCUUACCUUAAUAAUAAGAGCGACGGGCGAUAUGUACAUAUUUUAGAGCUAAAAUCAAAUUAUUAAUCUUUAUAAUUUUACUACCAAAUCCACUUUCAAAAAUUUUUUCAUAAUUUUAUCCAUAUAAAUAAAUUUAUUGUAACCCAUUAUUACUUAAACAUAAGCUACACCUUGAUCUGAUAUAAAUUUUUAUAAAAAUUAUUGAAUAUUAUUAUUCUUAUAAAAUAUUCUAAUAACGACGGUAUAUAAACUGAAUACAAAUCUAAGUAAGGUCCAUCGUGGAUUAUCGAUUACAAAACAGGUUCCUCUGGAUAGACUAAAAUACCGCCAAAUUUUUUAAGUUUCAAGAACAUAACUACUACUAC